UACAGAGGGUGCAAGCGUUGUUCGGAAUUAUUGGGCGUAAAGGGCGCGUAGGCGGUGCGGUAAGUCUGUAGUGAAAUCUCUGGGCUCAACUCAGAGUCUGCUGCAGAAACUGCCGUGCUUGAGUGUGGGAGAGGUGAGUGGAUUUCCCGGUGUAGCGGUGAAAUGCGUAGAUAUCGGGAGGAACACCUGUGGCGAAAGCGGCUCACUGGACCACAACUGACGCUGAGGCGCGAAAGCUAGGGGAGCAAACAGG
RNAcentral lists this ribosomal RNA (253 nucleotides) under uncultured bacterium. RNAcentral's name for it is "partial 16S ribosomal RNA". It matches the Rfam family "Bacterial small subunit ribosomal RNA", at positions 524 to 776 of the family's 1533-position model. The record is from RNAcentral.